GUCCACGCCCUAAACGAUGUCAACUGGUUGUUGGGAAUUCACUUUCUCAGUAACGAAGCUAACGCGUGAAGUUGACCGCCUGGGGAGUACGGCCGCAAGGUUAAAACUCAAAGGAAUUGACGGGGACCCGCACAAGCGGUGGAUGAUGUGGUUUAAUUCGAUGCAACGCGAAAAACCUUACCCACCUUUGACAUGUAUGGAAGAUCGCAGAGACGCGAUUGUGCUCGAAAGAGAGCCAUAACACAGGUGCUGCAUGGCUGUCGU
This 264-nucleotide ribosomal RNA is filed under the name uncultured bacterium. RNAcentral describes it as "partial 16S ribosomal RNA". It matches the Rfam family "Bacterial small subunit ribosomal RNA", at positions 793 to 1055 of the family's 1533-position model. The record is from RNAcentral.